Molecule: transfer RNA, 53 nt
Filed under: Libnetis sp. UPOL A00590
Lineage: Eukaryota; Metazoa; Arthropoda; Insecta; Coleoptera; Lycidae
Description: partial tRNA-Ser
Source: RNAcentral
AUAAACAAAUUAAUGCUUGAAAGAAAGUUAGAAGCUUUCGAAAAUAUUUCAAU